Molecule: ribosomal RNA, 527 nt
Filed under: Tenacibaculum sp.
Lineage: Bacteria; Pseudomonadati; Bacteroidota; Flavobacteriia; Flavobacteriales; Flavobacteriaceae
Description: bacterial SSU rRNA
Rfam family: Bacterial small subunit ribosomal RNA
Source: RNAcentral
AGAGUUUGGUCCUGGCUCAGGAUGAACGCUAGCGGCAGGCUUAACACAUGCAAGUCGAGGGGUAACAGGGAAAAGCUUGCUUUUUUGCUGACGACCGGCGAACGGGUGCGUAACGCGUAUAGAAUCUGCCUUGUACAGGAGGAUAGCCUUUAGAAAUGAAGAUUAAUACUCCAUAAUGUAGAGUAGUGGCAUCGCUAUUUUAUUAAAGAUUUAUUGGUACAAGAUGACUAUGCGUCCUAUUAGCUAGAUGGUAAGGUAACGGCUUACCAUGGCGACGAUAGGUAGGGGGUCUGAGAGGAUUAUCCCCCACACUGGUACUGAGACACGGACCAGACUCCUACGGGAGGCAGCAGUGAGGAAUAUUGGUCAAUGGAGGCAACUCUGAACCAGCCAUGCCGCGUGCAGGAAGACUGCCCUAUGGGUUGUAAACUGCUUUUAUACAGGAAGAAACAGAUCUACGUGUAGGUCCUUGACGGUACUGUAAGAAUAAGCACCGGCUAACUCCGUGCCAGCAGCCGCGGUAAUAC